Molecule: long non-coding RNA, 341 nt
Filed under: Trifolium pratense (red clover)
Lineage: Eukaryota; Viridiplantae; Streptophyta; Magnoliopsida; Fabales; Fabaceae
Description: long non-coding RNA (TPRA_LNC009111)
Source: RNAcentral
UAUGUGAGAAGAGGACUUUGUCUUUUGGUCCUAAGUAAGAGAUUUUGUUUGGUUGUCAUCACUUUGAAAUUUGAAAUAAUUGCGUUUGAUCCCUCUAUAGCUAGUGAAUUUCACUUAUAUCACUAGUGUUUGGAGGUUAAUUGUGAAUUGAGUACCUGAGAUUUUCAGGAAAUAAUAAAUCCUUUUAAUGAUUUAUAUAAUAAAAAUGCCAUUUAAGUUGUGGCUUACAAUAGCCGGUUUUUCUAUAAUAGCUGUUACAUGGUGCUAAUAAUAGCCCUCUUCCCAAACAUAAGAUGUUAAAAGUUGAUCUAUAUAAUAGCACUUUAUCUAAAUAAGUGAUG